UGUCUUAUUAGUGAAGUAGUAUCACACCAUCUUUUCGAGGUGGAGUUGUACCUAGGGGUUCAUAAGAUAA
RNAcentral lists this transfer RNA (70 nucleotides) under Phyllidiella pustulosa. RNAcentral's name for it is "tRNA-Glu". Lineage: Eukaryota; Metazoa; Mollusca; Gastropoda; Nudibranchia; Phyllidiidae. The record is from RNAcentral.